RNAcentral lists this ribosomal RNA (642 nucleotides) under uncultured bacterium. RNAcentral's name for it is "bacterial SSU rRNA". It matches the Rfam family "Bacterial small subunit ribosomal RNA", at positions 202 to 842 of the family's 1533-position model. The record is from RNAcentral.
UAAAGGGUGACACCGGCUACGGAUGGCCAUGCGGCGCAUUAGCUAGUUGGCGGGGUAACGGCCCACCAAGGCGACGAUGCGUAGGGGUUCUGAGAGGAAGGUCCCCCACACUGGUACUGAGACACGGACCAGACUCCUACGGGAGGCAGCAGUGAGGAAUAUUGGUCAAUGGGCGCGAGCCUGAGCCAGCCAAGUCGCGUGAGGGAAGACGGUCCUAUGGAUUGUAAACCUCUUUUGUCGGGGAGCAAAAGACGCCACGCGUGGCGUUCCGAGAGUACCCGAAGAAAAAGCAUCGGCUAACUCCGUGCCAGCAGCCGCGGUAAUACGGAGGAUGCGAGCGUUAUCCGGAUUUAUUGGGUUUAAAGGGUGCGCAGGCGGAAGAUCAAGUCAGCGGUAAAAUUGAGAGGCUCAACCUCUUCGAGCCGUUGAAACUGGUUUUCUUGAGUGAGCGAGAAGUAUGCGGAAUGCGUGGUGUAGCGGUGAAAUGCAUAGAUAUCACGCAGAACUCCGAUUGCGAAGGCAGCAUACCGGCGCUCAACUGACGCUCAUGCACGAAAGUGUGGGUAUCGAACAGGAUUAGAUACCCUGGUAGUCCACACAGUAAACGAUGAAUACUAAUUGUUCGGGGAGAAUGAUCCCUGA